Molecule: RNA transcript, 1221 nt
Organism: Macadamia integrifolia
Lineage: Eukaryota; Viridiplantae; Streptophyta; Magnoliopsida; Proteales; Proteaceae
Gene name: G2/mitotic-specific cyclin-1-like
Exons: 8
Source: RefSeq, a predicted model, not a curated record
AAAGAGAGACAAAUGAGACGACGAACAGAGGAAGAAAGUAGGAGACGGGAAAAAAGGGGAGAGAGAGAGAACGACGAGGGCGAGGAAGACUGCAUAGUCUAGACGAUCCAAUCUUCGUGUGGGUCGCAAAUGCGAAACCCACCAUCCCCAUUCUUGGAACCGUCGAUCGUGUGUACUGGGAUUUUGGAGACAGAUCAGAAAUGGCAUCAAAACCAGUUGUUACACAGCAAGCUAGAGAAAUUGCCGAAGGAGGAAAACAAAAGAUCCCUUUGGGCAAAGGAAAAAACCGGAAAGCACUUGGUGAUAUUGGGAAUUUGGUUCCUGUUCAAGUCAUCGAUGGGAAGCAGAAGGAGGAGUUCUCCCGUCCCCUAACGAGGAGCUUUUGUGCACAAUUAUGUUCGAAGGCACAAGCUGCUGUGCAAAAGAGAAUAUUAAGAAACCAGCUCCAAAAGUUGUUAAUGGACCUGUGGAGAAGAAAGGAGCUGUGCCAGCAUAACCAGCUCAGAAGAAGGCCAAUGCAAAGCCAAAGAUAUAGCAAAGGAUUAAAAUGCGAGCCAGAAAUCAUCAAGGCGUAAAGCUCAGACCCUCACAUAAUCCUAACAGCUCGAAGCAAGAGAAAAUCCAUCAGCCCAGCAUUUUCAGCUCCACAACAGCCUCAACAGCUAUCCUUGGUGAGGUUGAUUGGCCAAUGAAAUGCAUGUUUUAAUAACAUUUAGAUCAUUCAACUAGUAUCGCUCGGUAUUUAAAAGGCACAUUUAUUCACUAAGUGUUAAGUGUUCUAUUGGCUACAAGUAUUUAAAAAGUGCAUUCAUUCACCAAGGGUCUUGCUCUGAUACCACUUGUUGAGUCUCGAUACCCCUUGUGGGAAAAAAUGAUUACUCAACUUUCUCACUUGUGUGCCAAUGAAAUGCAGGUUCUUCAGUCUAAUAACACUUGGACCAUUCAACCAGUAUCACUCGGUAAAUGUUCUACGGGGUGUAGGUAUCUAAAAGACGCGUUUACUUACUAAGGGUUAUGUUGGGUCUUGCUAUGAUAUCGCUUGUUGAGUCUCGAUACUCUUUGUUGGAAAAAAUAAUGACUCGGUUUUUCCACAUGUGUGGUCACUAAAGGAAAUUCGAUUAUACUAUUCAUGUGAACAAUAAUUGUGAAUAGUAUACCCGUGAAUAGAAAUUAUGCGUAGUUAUAGAGAAUACUUAUGAUAGACAGCUAUGACUAAUGAAA